This 705-nucleotide ribosomal RNA is filed under the name Vibrio parahaemolyticus. Its description in RNAcentral is "bacterial SSU rRNA". It matches the Rfam family "Bacterial small subunit ribosomal RNA", at positions 399 to 1093 of the family's 1533-position model. The record is from RNAcentral. Lineage: Bacteria; Pseudomonadati; Pseudomonadota; Gammaproteobacteria; Vibrionales; Vibrionaceae.
GCGUGUGUGAAGAAGGCCUUCGGGUUGUAAAGCACUUUCAGUCGUGAGGAAGGUAGUGUAGUUAAUAGCUGCAUUAUUUGACGUUAGCGACAGAAGAAGCACCGGCUAACUCCGUGCCAGCAGCCGCGGUAAUACGGAGGGUGCGAGCGUUAAUCGGAAUUACUGGGCGUAAAGCGCAUGCAGGUGGUUUGUUAAGUCAGAUGUGAAAGCCCGGGGCUCAACCUCGGAAUUGCAUUUGAAACUGGCAGACUAGAGUACUGUAGAGGGGGGUAGAAUUUCAGGUGUAGCGGUGAAAUGCGUAGAGAUCUGAAGGAAUACCGGUGGCGAAGGCGGCCCCCUGGACAGAUACUGACACUCAGAUGCGAAAGCGUGGGGAGCAAAACAGGAUUAGAUACCCUGGUAGUCCACGCCGUAAACGAUGUCUACUUGGAGGUUGUGGCCUUGAGCCGUGGCUUUCGGAGCUAACCCGCUAAGUAGACCGCCUGGGGAGUACGGUCGCAAGAUUAAAACUCAAAUGAAUUGACGGGGGCCCGCACAAGCGGUGGAGCAUGUGGUUUAAUUCGAUGCAACGCGAAGAACCUUACCUACUCUUGACAUCCAGAGAACUUUUCAGAGAUGAGAUUGGUGCCUUCGGGAACUCUGAACAGGUGCUGCAUGGCUGUCGUCAGCUCGUGUUGUGAAAUGUUGGGGUUAAGUCCCCGCAAC